UACAGGGGGUGCAAACGUUGCUCGGAAUUAUUGGGCGUAAAGCGCGCGUAGGCGGCCACUUAAGUCGGACGUGAAAGCCCCUGGCUCAACUGGGGAAGUGCACCCGAAACUGAAUGGCUUGAAUGCAAAAGAGGGUCGCGGAAUUCCCGGUGUAGAGGUGAAAUUCGUAGAUAUCGGGAGGAACACCGGUGGCGAAGGCGGCGACCUGGGUUGACAUUGACGCUGAGGAGCGAAAGCGUGGGGAGCGAACAGG
This 253-nucleotide ribosomal RNA is filed under the name uncultured bacterium. RNAcentral describes it as "partial 16S ribosomal RNA". It matches the Rfam family "Bacterial small subunit ribosomal RNA", at positions 524 to 776 of the family's 1533-position model. The record is from RNAcentral.